GUGCCAGUCGCCGCGGUAAUACCGGCAGCUCAAGUGAUGUCCCAUAUUAUUGGGCCUAAAGCGUCCGUAGCUGGCCGACCAAGUCUCCCGGGAAAUCCACCCGCCCAACGGGUGGGCGUCCGGUAGAAACUGGCCGGCUUGGAACCGGAAGGCUCGAGGGGUACGUCCGGGGUAGGAGUGAAAUCCCGUAAUCCCGAACGGACCACCGAUGGCGAAAGCACCUCGAGAAGACGGCUCCGACAGUGAGGGACGAAAGCUAGGGUCUCGAACCGGAUUAGAAACCCUGUAGUCC
This 292-nucleotide ribosomal RNA is filed under the name uncultured bacterium. RNAcentral describes it as "partial 16S ribosomal RNA". It matches the Rfam family "Archaeal small subunit ribosomal RNA", at positions 455 to 747 of the family's 1478-position model. The record is from RNAcentral.